This is a long non-coding RNA of Trichomycterus rosablanca, 1919 nucleotides long. RefSeq lists it as uncharacterized. Lineage: Eukaryota; Metazoa; Chordata; Actinopteri; Siluriformes; Trichomycteridae. The record is from RefSeq and is a predicted model, not a curated record. The transcript has 4 exons.
UUAAAUAACUCUGAUGUUAUUGCUUUUUUUGCUGUUCACUAUUUAGUAAACAGGGUAAAAUCAAGAAGGACUUCCUCCUUCCUGACUGUAAAAAUGAAAAUUAUCUUCAAAAGAUCAGUCAGAUUGUGUCAAAACAUCGUGGGAAAAAGCUGAGACUAAAUAAAGUUGAAAAAUUCACUUUCAGAGUUGGGUCUUUCAAAAACACAUGGUUUAAAGAUGAACCUGACUUAUUGAAAAAGUGGGAGCAGUUCUAUCUACCUGAUCACAUGUUUAUGGAGGUGAUAGGAGUACUAGAAAACUUCUAUCAUGAUGAACUCAGUAAUGAGUUGGUGUUGAUGGUGUGUGAGGAUGGAAACGUAUAUGCUUAUGAAGAUGAACACCUGCAUCUAGUUGCCAAUAACCUAACAGAGCUUUUUGAGUGUGGGGUCCAGUUUCCGGGCAUCAAACAAUACUACUCUGGCCAAAGAUUUCAGGACAUGGAAGAUGAUGAAUGUAAUGAAAAGGAGAGAUCACAGAGAGUUACAGAGACAAGCAAGAAAAACCAGGACAUGUUUGAGAACAUGAAGAUAGAAUUUUUAAAAAGUUUGGAAUAUGUUGAUCAGAUACUGUCAAAUGAGCAGCCAGCUAUCUGUUGUUCAACAAUAAAAAAGGACACCAUAGAGACAUCACAUAAAUCAUUAAUGUCCAGCUAUGUUGAAGUUCAUAGAAGGAGAUGGCUCGGUGAGAGAUGUCCCCCUCCAGCACACCUCGACAUCUCAAGCUGACCUUUCGAACUCAAAAGUUUAAAUCUCAGCUCUGCUACCAGCAGGAUGGGUGCUUGGAUAACAUUGACAAUAACCGACAUGUAUGACUUCUAGGGCUGGGCGAUAUAUGAAUAUUUUAAAAAUAUCGAUAUAUUUUCAUACGCGAUAUAAGAUAAGACAAUAUCGCGUAUAUCGAUAUAAAUGUUGCGUUCCAGUUAGAUCCGACAGUUCGUCUUUCUCUUCUCCCAGUUUGUCUCUGCACAUGUUCACCUGCCCCGCCCCUCUCCCUCACUGCCCCGCCCCUCUCCCUCACUGAACACAACUCGCCCCUCCCCACCGCUUCACCAGUAAGUCCUGCAGGCAGCGAUAGCAUGGAGACGGAUAAAGACGUGACAGAAGCUAUGGAAGAGGAGCUGCUUACUAAAAAUAAAAAUAAUGACUAAUUUUGUAAUUUUUUGGAGAUGGUUCGAAUUCAAAGUGUCAGAUGAGCAGCAGAAUAAUGUAUUCUGUAGAGAAUGCCGAAAACAAGUCCAGAUAAAAGGUUCCAGCUCUGUGUACCUUCAUUCGUUUUUCACUUCAAAUCCCAAAGUUAAAAAACAAGAAAACGAGUCGUUAUUCGUUUCAAAAACCAACACAAGCGCAUGCACGCGCUGACAUGCACGUAUUUACUUCACAUUAAGUGUUGAGAAAGUAAUAAUAACGUAACGGUGCGUCUCCUGUUGUUCUGACUCUUGUGUUUGUAUAUGUGAUGUGCAUAUAUUUUCUCUAUCUGUAAAAAUCAAACAUUAUGGGGAUUUCUGUACUGGAUGUUGUACGUGGUCGUGUUAGUUUAUACUGGACGAUCGCCCGACGUCCGACACGUCAUUUAUUUAUUUAUCUUCUAUUAUAGUAUUUCUUGUUGUCGGCCAAUAAACAACCAAACAUUAUUAAAUUGCAUGAACUAACUCUGCAGUAAACAAGGAGCAAACAGCAAUUAAACAACAAAUAAAGCUGUUAAAUAAUAAUACAGUGCAUGAAGCAGAACGCUGAUUAAAAUGCAUUAAAUGUUGUAAUAGUUACACAGUAACAUGAACGAUUAGUUCUGCCUGUAUUACAGAACUGAGUUCUAUACAGUAAAAGAAAAUAUUAAUGUAAAUGUUUAUGUUGUGGCGACAUAUACAUAAAAUAAUGUAUAAG